AACGCACCUUGCGCCCUCUGGCUAUUCCAGAGGGCAUGCCUGUUUGAGUAUCAUGAACACCUCAACUCUCAUGGUUUUGCCGUGAUGAGCUUGGACUUUGGGGGUCUUGCCGGCCUGCGGUCGGCUCCUCUCAAAUGAAUCAGCUUGCCAGUGUUUGGUGGCAUCACAGGUGUGAUAACUAUCUACGCUUGUGGUUUUCCACCAGGUAACCUUCAGCAAUGAAGGUUCGCUGGAGCUCAUAAAUGUCUCUCCUCAGCGAGGACAGCUUCUUGAACGUUUGAUCUCAAAUCAGGUAGGGCUACCCGCUGAACUUAA
RNAcentral lists this unclassified non-coding RNA (315 nucleotides) under uncultured Thelephoraceae. RNAcentral's name for it is "sequence contains ITS2". Lineage: Eukaryota; Fungi; Basidiomycota; Agaricomycetes; Thelephorales; Thelephoraceae. The record is from RNAcentral.